CAGUAUUAUUUGCAGCUUCAGGCAUCUACCUGAUGUCUUAGAACAUAUCCCCUAGAGAUAAGGGGUUAAGUACUGUAUAUUGACUUUUGCAUUGACUAUGUACAUAUACACACUUGACAAAACUUGUCAAAUUGGUCACUUAAGAUCUGCAUGUUUGCUCUAUGUAAAUUGAACCUCAACUUUUGUUUAAAAAAAGUAAAUUCGUGGUAGAUCUCUCGUAAAGACAAACAGAGAGGGAGGAAGGCAAACCACAAGACACUCUUAAAUACAGAAAACAAACUGAGGGUAGACAGGGGAUGGGAGAGAAGGAAAAUGGGUGAUGGGCACUGAGGAGGGCAGCUGUUGGAAUGAGCAAUGGGUACUGUAUAUAAGCCAAUUUGACAAUAAAUUACAUUAAAAAAUCUCUUGUAAAGAAAACAAUCUGUUUGUAAGCAACUUCCACCUUUUUUUGGUUAUGUUAAUAAUUAAUUUUAAAAUUUAAUGUUUUCUUAAAGUAAAGGAUACCAAGCAGACAAGUCUGGUUGAGCCCUAAUGGACACAGAUUUUCAAUCUAUCCGUCUACACUCUAAAGUUCAAGCUCAGAAUAGAUUUUACUCAUUCAUCUACAAACGCAUUCAUACAUUUAUUUUGACAAAUGAGAAAUAACCUAUGAGUGGAGACUGCCAUUUUCCAGCAAAUUGAAAAUAACAUGUGUUAAAGACUAGCAUUGGCUUUAAGCUAUGAUUUCUAACCACUCCUUCAGGAUAUUAAACUUAUUUGCCAACUCUUUCCAGGCAUGGAAAGUUUGAAAAGAACCCUAGGAUUCUGUGUUUAUGGAAGUGCCAGAUUGUGACAAGUACACAGCUCCCAAGUACUACGCAACAUACACCUCAAUCAUCCAGAGGGGCAAAGCGAGCUUCCUGUGUGGACCCCAGCACCCCCCUGCAGAGGAGAUGGUGAGCAAUAACAUUUGGGACGAUAUUGGGAACGAAUGAAGAGAAUCAUUUAAGAGCAUCACACACCUGAGGGACUUAAGCAGUAAGUAUCUGCAGAGAAGACAGCCAGGGUCUGAUGGUCCUACAUUUAAUUUUGCUUUUCUCACUCUAUGUAAGUAACUUAGAGCCCCUGCACUGGAAAUAAACAAACCCACUUUCAAUAUUUGGCUCA
Molecule: long non-coding RNA, 1146 nt
Filed under: Felis catus (domestic cat)
Lineage: Eukaryota; Metazoa; Chordata; Mammalia; Carnivora; Felidae
Description: lncRNA (ENSFCAG00000049842.1)
Source: RNAcentral